GAGGGGAAAACCAGCAACCUCCUCCUAGGGAGUUUAAUGAAAAUUAGCAGGUAAAAGAGGCCUCCCCAGCAGCACGCAGAAAAUCAAAGAGGGCGGCCGGAGGGCCGAAGGGUUCGGACUGCGGAGGAGAGCUACGUCCUCGGACCCCACCUCCCUUCACCUUCCCGGCAGGACGAAAAAGGCGAAGGCUCAUUAGUGCCUUCGUUAAUUGACACCUGUAAUGAGGAAACUUUCCGAGAGGUGGCAUUUAGAGACUUGGAACUCCGGAAGGAAAGCCCCAAGGAAUACUUGUUACUGGUUUAAAACAGUCAUGGUAGGGCUGAACCUGUGUUUGAGUCCUUGCCAGUGAAAUGUGAGCAGAAAUCUGCAGAGUGGAUCUUUUGGAAAGAAUUGCCCAUUACUAAUAAAAAAGGGACAAAUUCAGUAGUCCUCACCCUUA
Mustela erminea (ermine) is the source of this 439-nucleotide long non-coding RNA. RefSeq lists it as uncharacterized. The record is from RefSeq and is a predicted model, not a curated record. Lineage: Eukaryota; Metazoa; Chordata; Mammalia; Carnivora; Mustelidae. The transcript is spliced from 2 exons.